AGAGUUUGAUCAUGGCUCAGAACGAACGCUGGCGGCAGGCCUAACACAUGCAAGUCGAACGCAUCCUUCGGGGUGAGUGGCAGACGGGUGAGUAACACGUGGGAACGUGCCUUUCGGUUCGGGAUAACCCAGGGAAACUUGGGCUAAUACCGGAUACGCCCUUUGGGGGAAAGAUUGAUUGCCGAAAGAUCGGCCCGCGUCUGAUUAGCUAGUUGGUGAGGUAACGGCUCACCAAGGCGACGAUCAGUAGCUGGUCUGAGAGGAUGAUCAGCCACACUGGGACUGAGACACGGCCCAGACUCCUACGGGAGGCAGCAGUGGGGAAUAUUGGACAAUGGGCGCAAGCCUGAUCCAGCCAUGCCGCGUGAGUGAUGAAGGCCCUAGGGUUGUAAAGCUCUUUCGGCGGGGACGAUAAUGACGGUACCCGCAGAAGAAGCCCCGGCUAACUUCGUGCCAGCAGCCGCGGUAAUACGAAGGGGGCUAGCGUUGUUCGGAAUCACUGGGCGUAAAGGGCGCGUAGGCGGCCAUUCAAGUCGGGGGUGAAAGCCUGUGGCUCAACCACAGAAUUGCCUUCGAUACUGUUUGGCUUGAGACCGGAAGAGGUCAGUGGAACUGCGAGUGUAGAGGUGAAAUUCGUAGAUAUUCGCAAGAACACCAGCGGCGAAGGCGGCUGACUGGUCCGGUUCUGACGCUGAGGCGCGAAAGCGUGGGGAGCAAACAGGAUUAGAUACCCUAGUAGUCC
This 742-nucleotide ribosomal RNA is filed under the name uncultured bacterium. RNAcentral describes it as "bacterial SSU rRNA". It matches the Rfam family "Bacterial small subunit ribosomal RNA", at positions 8 to 796 of the family's 1533-position model. The record is from RNAcentral.